GCCGGGGUGGCCCAGUCUGGUCACGGCGCCGGCUUGCUAUAGCUAGUCUGCGAAAAGCCGGUUGCGCGUAAGCGCUUCCUGGGUUCAAAUCCCAGCCCCGGCG
Molecule: transfer RNA, 103 nt
Filed under: candidate division MSBL1 archaeon SCGC-AAA261O19
Lineage: Archaea; Methanobacteriati; Methanobacteriota
Description: candidate divison MSBL1 archaeon SCGC-AAA261O19 tRNA
Rfam family: tRNA
About the family: Transfer RNA (tRNA) molecules are approximately 80 nucleotides in length. Their secondary structure includes four short double-helical elements and three loops (D, anti-codon, and T loops).
Source: Rfam by way of RNAcentral